GAUGAACGCUGGCGGCGUGCCUAAUACAUGCAAGUCGAGCGAACGGACGAGAAGCUUGCUUCUCUGAUGUUAGCGGCGGACGGGUGAGUAACACGUGGAUAACCUACCUAUAAGACUGGGAUAACUUCGGGAAACCGUAGCUAAUACCGGAUAAUAUUUUGAACCGCAUGGUUCAAAAGUGAAAGACGGUCUUGCUGUCACUUAUAGAUGGAUCCGCGCUGCAUUAGCUAGUUGGUAAGGUAACGGCUUACCAAGGCAACGAUGCAUAGCCGACCUGAGAGGGUGAUCGGCCACACUGGAACUGAGACGCGGUCCAGACUCCUACGGGAGGCAGCAGUAGGGAAUCGUCCGCAAUGGGCGAAAGCCUGACGGAGCAACGCCGCGUGAGUGAUGAAGGUCUUCGGAUCGUAAAACUCUGUUAUUAGGGAAGAACAUAUGUGUAAGUAACUGUGCACAUCUUGACGGUACCUAAUCAGAAAGCCACGGCUAACUACGUG
RNAcentral lists this ribosomal RNA (497 nucleotides) under uncultured bacterium. RNAcentral describes it as "partial 16S ribosomal RNA". It matches the Rfam family "Bacterial small subunit ribosomal RNA", at positions 28 to 507 of the family's 1533-position model. The record is from RNAcentral.